AAUAAUACAAUGACGUAAUACAUAAACAUUAAAAUUAUUUAAAAUUUAAAACUUAAUAAUGUAAUACUACGAUUAUUUACUACCUAUUUUGUAUUUUAUUAUAUAGUACCUUCGUUGUACAUACAACACUAUGACUCAACACGACAACACUCGGCUCUCGGGGUAUAUUCACCCCUUUGUGUAUGUAAUGUGCCACACAAACGACAUACCUACCCACUUUAUGGAAUCAGUAGAAAAUACCGACAUUUUGGGUACUUAUUUGCUGCUUCUAUUGACUGAAUGUGUACCAUACAUUAUUAUUUUCAACAGACAUCCAGACAUGGAUGAUCAACUAGAUAUUAUGUUGGAAAAUUCCAAUUCAGAAUUUAUUACCUUAUCGUAUGCUGAUCAUUCAUUGAUCCCUCAUCCUGAACAAUUAGCUGACGAGUGUGCGGAUAUAAUUUUAGACCAGGAUGAUUGUCAAGAUAUGAGUGCCAUGGUUCCAUUAAAUGAUUUGUUGUUGGGGCAAACAUUCUUAAUAGAGACUAAUGAACAACCAUUAUUUGUAAAUGGCCCCGAGAUAAUUACAUUCCAACAUAUCAAUUCUAACGGACAAAUAAAUGAUAUCCAGACUGUUUCAAAUAAUAUAGAAUCUGAUAAAUCUACGAUUGAAAAUAUUAAUUUUACUAUGAAUUCUGAUGAUCACUUUCAAGAAAUUUAUACAGACCUUAAUAAAACCGAUUUGGAUAUAAUGAAAACGGCUAAUGACAGUAAUAACUUGACAGAACAUUUACAAGUUAAGAUAAACACUGAUAUAACUAGUGGGAACUAUAGUUAUUCAACUGCUAUUAAAAUAUUAGAUGAUGUCGCUAAAAGUCCUGUUGAUACUAAUGGUCAUUUUGUUUGUGAUUUAUGUUUACAUGAAUUUUACAACUGGAAAAAUUAUAAAAAACAUAAACUUGAACAUUUGAAUGAUAAGCCAUUUAAAUGUUUGAAAUGUUUAAAAUCAUUUAAUUACAAUAAUAAUUAUUUACUUCACAUUGCUUCUCAUUCAACAAGUAAUUUAAAAUGUCCAAAAUGCAAAAAAGAAUUUAAACGCUUUGCUAGCUUCAGGGCUCACCUAAAAAUUCAUAAAACCGAAGAAUUGAUUACAUGCAAUAUUUGUGAUAAAAUAUUUGACAAUCAGUAUCGAUUGGACAUCCAUAAAGAAAAUUGUAUGCAAGAAAAUAUAAUUAAUCCUAGUGAAGAAGCAUCUGUUGCUUGUAUUAAAACUUGUACAAUUUGUAAUAUGUCUUUUUCAACUAUAUCAGAAUAUAAAAUGCACAUCAAAGAACACAGAAAAUUCGAUUCAAUAUUGAAAAAAUAUCAUAAGGUUGCUACAAAAUUAAAAAAAAUCCAUAAAACAAGCAAUACAAUUAAAAAAUUUAAAUGUGAUCAUUGUGAUUGGUCAUUUAAUAAGUCAAAUCUUUUACGCCGCCAUAUGAGAACACAUACUGGAGAAAAACCAUUUGAAUGCAAAGAUUGUUCAUUAUACUUUACUCAACAAAAUUCAUUAAAUAGACAUCUGAUGAAACAUAAAGGAAUACGACCAUUCAAAUGUGAAUUCUGUGAAAUGAGUUUUUGUCAAAAAGGUCAUUUGAUUAAUCAUAUGAAAAAAUGCCAUGCUGUUAAAAAAGAAGCUACAAGAAUUCAUAAAUGCUCUAUGUGCUCGUGUGUUUACAACAGUGUUAAUGCUCUUAGUAAACAUUUAAAUGUUUUCCAUGGAGUAAAAACUAAAAAUGUACAUGAAAAUGUUCAAAGUGAAGUACUAAAGAAUGGAGAAACAGUUGAUGAAACUAUACAUUUAAUUAAAGAUUCCUCAAAGUUAGAACAAUGGCUCGAAGAAGUAGCUUAUGAAUUGCAAAGUGGUGACAAUAAUACAGAGUUAAAGAAUUGCAACAAUCCAAUUACUACUCAAUGUGAAUUUGGAUUAAAUUUGAUGGAGAGUGAACACUAUGAUAACAUUUUAAGCCCAAUUUCUAAUAUAGCUAGUGAUCACACAGAAAUUGAAAAUUUGACAUAUUCUCUUGUAGAUGGUGAUACUCUUAUUGUUCUGAAGAAGAAACAAGACCAACCAUUAAUCGAAAAUGCCAUUGUUCAAAACCAAGAAAAGGAACUAUUAACUACUGUUACUGAAGAUGAAUCAGUAUCACUAAAUGUUGUAAGAGAAACCACUAAAAAGGGAAUAAAAUCUGUCACAAUUGCUACUAAUGAAUCAAUAUCAUUAAAUGUUGAAGAAGAAAUCACUAAAAAGAUGAUCCCUUCAAGAAAAAAAAAAUGUGUUAAUAAAAUGUCUAAAUUGGAUGCAAAAAAGAGUUUACUAAGAAAAAAAAAUGUAUGUUCAUUGAAAUCAAAAAAGAAGAAUACUAUUAGUAAUGAAGUUAAGAGAAACAUAAAUCAUCCAAGUGGUAAAGCUGAGCCAAAAGUUGUAUAUGUACCAAAUAUUGCUACUAAUUCAGAAGAAAGAACCAUUAGUACUACUCAAAAACCCUUGCCAAAAGUAUGUCAGUUCUGUGAAAAAAUAUUUAAAAAGAAUGCCGAUCUCGAAAGACAUGAAAGAACACACACUGGUAACAAACCAUAUAAAUGUGAUGAAUAGGAUUGUAAUAAAGCAUUUGCCACUAAGAGUUCACUUGAAUAUCAUAAAAUCACUCAUUCAGGUAAGAUGAAACGAGCCGAGUGCCCCCAGUGUAAUGGAUUAUUUGCCACAACAUCAACUUUGAAAGUUCAUAUGAGACAACACACAGGUGAAAAACCGUUUAAAUGUCCUGUAUGUGGAGAUGCAUUUCGAACAACUGGACACUUACAUACACAUGUGAUAAUCCACGAACGAAAAAAGAAACGUAAAUAAAAAAUUUGUAUCAUUUUUAUCAAAGUGAAGUUUUGUUUGUGAUACAUUUUAAAGUAAUUAUACUUAUAAGAAUAUAUCCAUAGCUGAGUAUCUUGAGUGUAGGCUCAGGGUAUGCUAGCCCUCCAAUAUGAGAUUUAAUUUGUAAUAGUUUUUUACUAAACAAUUUGUUUUUAAUAAACUGUCAGUAAAUUAGUCAGCCAUAUUUGACAUCCACAAAUUAGAAAUUAUCAGGAAAUAUUCAGCCUAUCCCCAGAUCUGGCAGUGGCGUAGUUAUAAUAUGGGGAUAUAUUCCCCCCCCCUAGCUUUUAUAUUCGGAGCAAUGAAUGCAUAUUUUUCAAUUAUGUGAUUAUUUUUGUUUCAGUUCACAGAUUUUUAAUACUUUAUACAAUUUUGACUUUGAGAAUGGUUUCUGGUAUCAAAAUUGAAAAUAUUUGAAAAUUAUCAGAACUUUUUUAAAUAAUCAGAAAAAAAAAUAAGUUAGAGAACAUUUUUAUUCAAAACCGAUUCUGUUUUUGGUGUAACUCAAAAACUAAUAACCGUGGAUACUUUAAACUUAGGAGGAGGAGAAAGCUCCUGUUGUUUAUCUGAAAAAAUAUUCUCCCUUUCCCCAUAUGAAAAUCAUAACUAUGCCACUGGGCUUGGGUAGAAAACUACACUAAAUAGAUUAAUCAAAAUAUUUGCUCAAUUGAUAAAAAAUAAAAAAUAAAAUUUGAUAGUUAUUGUUUAAUUGUCCUCAUGCAAGUAAAAUAAAUUUAUUUUGAAAAUUUGAUGUGAUAAGAAUCUGUAUAGGCAUAUUAUACCCGAUAUAUAUAAAUGUAUGUUCCAAAAAUUAAUUAGUGUUUGGAACUUUCACUAUAAAAUUGAAUUUGUUUAUUAUAUUUUUUUCAAAUAAACACGUUCACGUUCUUUGAAAAAUGAAUGCUUUCAUUUGGUCGUCCAUUUAAAUGUUUUUAUAUUAUUUUUAUGAAUCGUUGUAAUACCAAUAUAAAAUAGUGGAAAUCAUUAUAUUAUUGUUGUUAUAUGUCGAGGCGGACCCACUGGAAUUUCAUGUAUUUUAUUUUUAUAAUUCGUAAUCAAAUAAAUGUAAUAGAAAUAUUAUAACAGAAAAACAAUAUUAUUAAUCAAUAUAUGCUAAAUGGUAAAUAAAUUUGAAUGUCUUAAAAAUAUAAACAUGGUUCAUGCUCAUGUAUUGUGCACUAAAUAUGAUCGUGGAUGCAUGAAUGGCGUUCUUUCCAAACACUGAUAUCGCAUAUUAUAUUAAUGUAUAAAAUAUUGAUAAUUUUGUGAUUAUAUUGUAUUGUACAACUUUUUAUUAACGUAAUAGGUUCCUACUAGCCUAAUAUUUGUUUAAUAUCAUGAAUUGAGAUUUGUAUGCAUACAUUUAUGUAUAUCAGCCAUGGGCUUAGACCCCUAAAAUAAAGUAUUCGAUUGUUUCCCAAAAUAUUACCUUUUAAAAUUUAACUGUAAUUCUUAUUUUGGAAAUAUGGAAACGUACUAUUAUGAUUGUAAAAGUGUACCUACCUGAUAUAGUUGUAUAAUCUAAUAUACUUAUAUCUAACAAUUUGUAUCUACAUUAUAUAUUAAUUAAAUUAAUGUAAAAACUUUA
Molecule: RNA transcript, 4475 nt
Organism: Myzus persicae (green peach aphid)
Lineage: Eukaryota; Metazoa; Arthropoda; Insecta; Hemiptera; Aphididae
Gene name: zinc finger protein 107-like
Exons: 20
Source: RefSeq, a predicted model, not a curated record